This is a long non-coding RNA of Cimex lectularius (bed bug), 847 nucleotides long. RefSeq lists it as uncharacterized. NCBI's taxonomy places the organism in Eukaryota, Metazoa, Arthropoda, Insecta, Hemiptera, Cimicidae. The transcript has 2 exons. The record is from RefSeq and is a predicted model, not a curated record.
AGUACUAAGUUUUUUUUAAAUUAUCUAGUUUUUACUUAUAUUUUUGUACAACUACUUUAUUUAAUGCAACAGCCCAAACUGCACUACUUUAUAAUUCGGAGAUGUAGGAUCUAUAUACUAUAACCAGCUUGAGUCAGCAAAGAUUCUCAAGGAGUCGCCUAGAAAAGCAGAUGUCCAUAUGACCAGGAUCAUCAAUGCAGCCUUCAGACUUAAUUGUACCAAAAACUUGGAAGAUCGCUGAGGUCAUCAUGACACUGAGGUCCUCAAGCCUAUGUGGACAUAGAGCAUCUAUGAGGCUGUGCCAGCAUUACGAAUCAUCAAAUCAUACAGAUUUCAGAAUACAGUUAUGCUUAUGAUAUGCAUAGUCAAUGCACCCUGGUACAUCAGAAAUAAAGACCUCUACCAUGACCUCACAUAAAGCAACUAGCUCUAUAAAGCAACUUUAGCCCACCAAGGCUUAAAGGACAUAGAAGAAGCAGUCCACCUGUAGACACCUAGUCAGACGACUCAAAUACAACCAAGCCACGCCCACAAUUUAUUGCUGGUGCAGUGAUGUAGUGAAACAGCAAUUUAAGAACUUUCGAAGAUAACUUACUAGCUAUUAUAUUUCGUGGUCUACUGACCAAUACUUCUUUCAAUUAAUUAAUCAUUUCAUGUAAGGUUUUGGUUGAAAUAAAAACCUGUUAGCUAUGUUAAUAGCUAGAUUGUGGUAUUAAUAAAGACUCUUCACCUCUGAGGAUUGGAGGGACAAAAUAAGGGCAGGGGGUGGCUGCAACGGUUAGAACAAUGAUGUGGCCACUUGCAGGUUCAAUUUUAGGACUAUGAAAUAGUACUUAGUCCCCCCCCC